RNAcentral lists this ribosomal RNA (1000 nucleotides) under Vibrio parahaemolyticus. RNAcentral's name for it is "bacterial SSU rRNA". It matches the Rfam family "Bacterial small subunit ribosomal RNA", at positions 459 to 1459 of the family's 1533-position model. Lineage: Bacteria; Pseudomonadati; Pseudomonadota; Gammaproteobacteria; Vibrionales; Vibrionaceae. The record is from RNAcentral.
AGCUGCAUUAUUGACGUAAGCGACAGAUGAAGCACCGGCUACUCCGUGCCAGCAGCCGCGGUAUACGAGGGUGCGAGCGUUAAUCGGAAUUACUGGCGUAAAGCGCAUGCCAGCUGGUUGUUAAGUCAGAUGUGAAAGCCCGGGGCUCAACCUCGGAAUUGCAUUUGAAACUGGCAGACUAGAGUACUGUAGAGGGGGGUAGAAUUCAGGUGUAGCGGUGAAAUGCGUAGAGAUCUGAAGGAAUACCGGUGGCGAAGGCGGCCCCCUGGACAGAUACUGACACUCAGAUGCGAAAGCGUGGGGAGCAAACAGGAUUAGAUACCCUGGUAGUCCACGCCGUAAACGAUGUCUACUUGGAGGUUGUGGCCUUGAGCCGUGGCUUUCGGAGCUAACGCGUUAAGUAGACCGCCUGGGGAGUACGGUCGCAAGAUUAAAACUCAAAUGAAUUGACGGGGGCCCGCACAAGCGGUGGAGCAUGUGGUUUAAUUCGAUGCAACGCGAAGAACCUUACCUACUCUUGACAUCCAGAGAACUUUCCAGAGAUGGAUUGGUGCCUUCGGGAACUCUGAGACAGGUGCUGCAUGGCUGUCGUCAGCUCGUGUUGUGAAAUGUUGGGUUAAGUCCCGCAACGAGCGCAACCCUUAUCCUUGUUAGCCAGCGAGUAAUGUCGGGAACUCCAGGGAGACUGCCGGUGAUAAACUUGAGGAAGGUGGGGACGACGUCAAGUCAUCAUGGCCCUUACGAGUAGGGCUACACACGUGCUACAAUGGCGCAUACAGAGGGCAGCCAACUUGCGAAAGUGAGCGAAUCCCAAAAAGUGCGUCGUAGUCCGGAUUGGAGUCUGCAACUCGACUCCAUGAAGUCGGAAUCGCUAGUAAUCGUGGAUCAGAAUGCCACGGUGAAUACGUUCCCGGGCCUUGUACACACCGCCCGUCACACCAUGGGAGUGGGCUGCAAAAGAAGUAGUGUAGUCUAACCUUCGGGGGGACGCCUACUACCA